UUUCCCUCAGGAUAGCUGGCACUCUUGCACACCCACACCAAAGUGAUGCAGUGUUAUCCAGUAAAGGGAAUGAUUACAGGUCAAUAUCAACUUAUUCUCAAACUUUAAAUGGGUAAGAAGCCCAGCUUUCUGGCAUGGAGCUGGGCCCAGCAAAGGCUCUGCAA
Molecule: non-coding RNA, 164 nt
Filed under: Erinaceus europaeus (western European hedgehog)
Lineage: Eukaryota; Metazoa; Chordata; Mammalia; Eulipotyphla; Erinaceidae
Description: Eukaryotic large subunit ribosomal RNA
Rfam family: Eukaryotic large subunit ribosomal RNA
Source: Rfam by way of RNAcentral